CCUUAAGACCUAUGCAAUGGAUUUUUGAGAUAAUGCGUCAGGGUGGGAACACAGCAGCGCACCUCUUCUUUUCAUGUGCCGUGGGAACCUUGAGGGGG
This 98-nucleotide signal recognition particle RNA is filed under the name Campylobacterales bacterium. RNAcentral describes it as "signal recognition particle sRNA small type". It matches the Rfam family "Bacterial small signal recognition particle RNA". Rfam says of the family: The signal recognition particle (SRP) is a universally conserved ribonucleoprotein involved in the co-translational targeting of proteins to membranes. Archaeal SRP consists of a 7S RNA and homologues of the eukaryotic SRP19 and SRP54 proteins. The record is from RNAcentral. Lineage: Bacteria; Pseudomonadati; Campylobacterota; Epsilonproteobacteria; Campylobacterales.